GUAGGUGGCAAGCGUUGUCCGGAAUUAUUGGGCGUAAAGCGCGCGCAGGCGGUUUUUUAAGUCUGAUGUGAAAGCCCACGGCUCAACCGUGGAGGGUCAUUGGAAACUGGAGAACUUGAGUACAGAAGAGGAAAGCGGAAUUCCACGUGUAGCGGUGAAAUGCGUAGAGAUGUGGAGGAACACCAGUGGCGAGGGCGGCUUUCUGGUCUGUAACUGACGCUGAGGCGCGAAAGCGUGGGGAGCAAACAGGGAUUAGAUACCCUGGUAGUCCACGCCGUAAACGAUGAGUGCUAAGUGUUAGGGGGUUUCCCGCCCCUUAGUGCUGCAGCUAACGCAUUAAGCACUCCGCCUGGGGAGUACGGCCGCAAGGCUG
RNAcentral lists this ribosomal RNA (373 nucleotides) under uncultured organism. RNAcentral describes it as "partial 16S ribosomal RNA". It matches the Rfam family "Bacterial small subunit ribosomal RNA", at positions 527 to 896 of the family's 1533-position model. The record is from RNAcentral.